CUCUUGUCUUGCCACAUCAACUGACUGUUGGACAUCUCUCACCCUGGAAAUCUUUCUGCCCUCUCAAGCAACUUAAGCAAAAUAGAACUUACCUGCCCUGUAAAAUCCAUCCCUCUUUCUGGUGACUGAUCUCUGGAUAUCUUCCAACAACCAAUAUGAAGCCUGAAGCCAGACUCUGAGAAUGGCCCUGACCAAGGCCAGGAGCUUCCCUCUCCCUCCUUCUUGUGAAGGACAAGAGCCUCAUCUUGUUCCCACUCAGUGGCAGAGCCAGGCCAGGGAUAGGUGCCAAAGGGUGUCAAAGAAAAAAAAACCCCAACAUCUCUCAUGAAAUACAGCGUGCACAAGCGGACAGGCCCCUGAAGACCCCAGCAAUGUGGCUUGUUCUGAGCCUAGCGAACAGUAACCCAGAAACAUAUGUGAAAAUGUCCUCCAGUGGAAUUGCUUGUCAGCUUCAGGAGGAGGGAAAGAAGAAGGGAGGGAUAGUACAUGAAUCAUGUAACCAUGGGAAAAUGUUCUUUAAAAAAGAAAGAAAAAGUAAAAAAAGAAGAGAAAAUAAAAUGCCUUUGCUGAGAACUAACUGAGUCUACUGUCUGAUUAUUAACAAGGAACAUGCAAAAAGGGGCUUGUAAGCUAUAUGGUUUUAGGAG
This 647-nucleotide long non-coding RNA is filed under the name Monodelphis domestica (gray short-tailed opossum). Its description in RNAcentral is "lncRNA (ENSMODG00000030267.2)". Lineage: Eukaryota; Metazoa; Chordata; Mammalia; Didelphimorphia; Didelphidae. The record is from RNAcentral.